This 200-nucleotide long non-coding RNA is filed under the name Hordeum vulgare. RNAcentral's name for it is "long non-coding RNA (HVUL_LNC000182)". The record is from RNAcentral. Lineage: Eukaryota; Viridiplantae; Streptophyta; Magnoliopsida; Poales; Poaceae.
UUUUACACAUAAAGGUAUAGAAGAUGUGGAGAUUGAGAUUAACCAUUAUCGACUUAAGGAAAGAAAGCUACAACAUAAGAGAUGAGGAAUUAGAUGCAGAUCAAGUGUUACCGUGCUAGAGAAGGAAGGCUACAAAAUUUGCAUGUCCUUGCAUCCAUGGCGUCCACAAAAUUAGAUGUGUUGGUGGAACUGAUUAGGGC